RNAcentral lists this ribosomal RNA (2858 nucleotides) under Salmonella enterica subsp. enterica serovar Manhattan. RNAcentral describes it as "bacterial LSU rRNA". It matches the Rfam family "Bacterial large subunit ribosomal RNA". Lineage: Bacteria; Pseudomonadati; Pseudomonadota; Gammaproteobacteria; Enterobacterales; Enterobacteriaceae. The record is from RNAcentral.
AGCGUACACGGUGGAUGCCCUGGCAGUCAGAGGCGAUGAAGGGCGUGCUAAUCUGCGAUAAGCGCCGGUAAGGUGAUAUGAACCGUUAUAACCGGCGAUACCCGAAUGGGGAAACCCAGUGUGAUUCGUCACACUAUCAUUAACUGAAUCCAUAGGUUAAUGAGGCGAACCGGGGGAACUGAAACAUCUAAGUACCCCGAGGAAAAGAAAUCAACCGAGAUUCCCCCAGUAGCGGCGAGCGAACGGGGAGGAGCCCAGAGCCUGAAUCAGCAUGUGUGUUAGUGGAAGCGUCUGGAAAGGCGCGCGAUACAGGGUGACAGCCCCGUACACAAAAGCGCAUGUGCUGUGAGCUCGAUGAGUAGGGCGGGACACGUGGUAUCCUGUCUGAAUAUGGGGGGACCAUCCUCCAAGGCUAAAUACUCCUGACUGACCGAUAGUGAACCAGUACCGUGAGGGAAAGGCGAAAAGAACCCCGGCGAGGGGAGUGAAAAAGAACCUGAAACCGUGUACGUACAAGCAGUGGGAGCACAGGUUUACCUGUGUGACUGCGUACCUUUUGUAUAAUGGGUCAGCGACUUAUAUUCUGUAGCAAGGUUAACCGCAUAGGGGAGCCGGAGGGAAACCGAGUCUUAAUUGGGCGUUAAGUUGCAGGGUAUAGACCCGAAACCCGGUGAUCUAGCCAUGGGCAGGUUGAAGGUUGGGUAACACUAACUGGAGGACCGAACCGACUAAUGUUGAAAAAUUAGCGGAUGACCUGUGGCUGGGGGUGAAAGGCCAAUCAAACCGGGAGAUAGCUGGUUCUCCCCGAAAGCUAUUUAGGUAGCGCCUCGUGAAUUCAUCUCCGGGGGUAGAGCACUGUUUCGGCUAGGGGGCCAUCCCGGCUUACCAACCCGAUGCAAACUGCGAAUACCGGAGAAUGUUAUCACGGGAGACACACGGCGGGUGCUAACGUCCGUCGUGAAGAGGGAAACAACCCAGACCGCCAGCUAAGGUCCCAAAGUCAUGGUUAAGUGGGAAACGAUGUGGGAAGGCCCAGACAGCCAGGAUGUUGGCUUAGAAGCAGCCAUCAUUUAAAGAAAGCGUAAUAGCUCACUGGUCGAGUCGGCCUGCGCGGAAGAUGUAACGGGGCUAAACCAUGCACCGAAGCUGCGGCAGCGAACGUAUCACUUAAAGCGAUUCAGCGGGUUACGAUUGACGGAGCGAAGCGACGUCAAAGCGUAUACAAAGUCGAGUCGGUUUAAGGAUACGUUCGUUGGGUAGGGGAGCGUUCUGUAAGCCUGUGAAGGUGGCCUGUGAGGGUUGCUGGAGGUAUCAGAAGUGCGAAUGCUGACAUAAGUAACGAUAAAGCGGGUGAAAAGCCCGCUCGCCGGAAGACCAAGGGUUCCUGUCCAACGUUAAUCGGGGCAGGGUGAGUCGACCCCUAAGGCGAGGCCGAAAGGCGUAGUCGAUGGGAAACGGGUUAAUAUUCCCGUACUUGGUGUUACUGCGAAGGGGGGACGGAGAAGGCUAUGUUGGCCGGGCGACGGUUGUCCCGGUUUAAGCGUGUAGGUGUGUGUUCCAGGUAAAUCCGGUUCACUUUAACACUGAGGCGUGAUGACGAGGCACUACGGUGCUGAAGCAACAAAUGCCCUGCUUCCAGGAAAAGCCUCUAAGCAUCAGGUAACAUCAAAUCGUACCCCAAACCGACACAGGUGGUCAGGUAGAGAAUACCAAGGCGCUUGAGAGAACUCGGGUGAAGGAACUAGGCAAAAUGGUGCCGUAACUUCGGGAGAAGGCACGCUGACACGUAGGUGAAGUGAUUUACUCAUGGAGCUGAAGUCAGUCGAAGAUACCAGCUGGCUGCAACUGUUUAUUAAAAACACAGCACUGUGCAAACACGAAAGUGGACGUAUACGGUGUGACGCCUGCCCGGUGCCGGAAGGUUAAUUGAUGGGGUCAGCGCAAGCGAAGCUCCUGAUCGAAGCCCCGGUAAACGGCGGCCGUAACUAUAACGGUCCUAAGGUAGCGAAAUUCCUUGUCGGGUAAGUUCCGACCUGCACGAAUGGCGUAAUGAUGGCCAGGCUGUCUCCACCCGAGACUCAGUGAAAUUGAACUCGCUGUGAAGAUGCAGUGUACCCGCGGCAAGACGGAAAGACCCCGUGAACCUUUACUAUAGCUUGACACUGAACAUUGAGCCUUGAUGUGUAGGAUAGGUGGGAGGCUUUGAAGUGUGGACGCCAGUCUGCAUGGAGCCGACCUUGAAAUACCACCCUUUAAUGUUUGAUGUUCUAACGUGGACCCGUUACCCGGGUUGCGGACAGUGUCUGGUGGGUAGUUUGACUGGGGCGGUCUCCUCCUAAAGAGUAACGGAGGAGCACGAAGGUUGGCUAAUCCUGGUCGGACAUCAGGAGGUUAGUGCAAUGGCAUAAGCCAGCUUGACUGCGAGCGUGACGGCGCGAGCAGGUGCGAAAGCAGGUCAUAGUGAUCCGGUGGUUCUGAAUGGAAGGGCCAUCGCUCAACGGAUAAAAGGUACUCCGGGGAUAACAGGCUGAUACCGCCCAAGAGUUCAUAUCGACGGCGGUGUUUGGCACCUCGAUGUCGGCUCAUCACAUCCUGGGGCUGAAGUAGGUCCCAAGGGUAUGGCUGUUCGCCAUUUAAAGUGGUACGCGAGCUGGGUUUAGAACGUCGUGAGACAGUUCGGUCCCUAUCUGCCGUGGGCGCUGGAGAACUGAGGGGGGCUGCUCCUAGUACGAGAGGACCGGAGUGGACGCAUCACUGGUGUUCGGGUUGUCAUGCCAAUGGCACUGCCCGGUAGCUAAAUGCGGAAGAGAUAAGUGCUGAAAGCAUCUAAGCACGAAACUUGCCCCGAGAUGAGUUCU